Molecule: long non-coding RNA, 1773 nt
Organism: Marmota monax (woodchuck)
Lineage: Eukaryota; Metazoa; Chordata; Mammalia; Rodentia; Sciuridae
Exons: 3
Source: RefSeq, a predicted model, not a curated record
CCCCGGCGACCUCCUGCCCGACCCACCGCAGAGCUGGCCGCGGGGCACCGGCCGCCCCUGCCCGCUCCGACGGGAGGCCCCCUGCCCGCUCGGAGGGGAGGCCGGAGGCCGGGGAGGGGCUCGCAGGACCCGUGCUGGGGACCCCGGUGCCGCGUCAUCUGGGUCAUCUGUGUCACCUGCGGUGCUGGGAGUUCCACUCCCAGAAGGGCCUGGGCAGCCCUGGGCGGGGCCGGGCCUCUGUCCUCCGCGGGAGGUGGCCCUGCCUGGCUGCCAUCUCCAGGGAGCCCCAUGGGCAGGUCAGCGGGCGGCUCUCUAAGCCUCCUCAGCUGGGGGCUGGACGCUGUCCCGCGGGCCUCCCCACGUCCAGCCUGGCCUCUCGUGUGUGUUCCCACAGGAGCCGAGCAAACCUGGGCAGAGCCUGGCGCACGCUGGUGCCCACAGCCAGUUGGUGAAUGUGCACGAGUGCGUCCCUGAGGACCCUGAGCAGAAGGGAGGACCCUGGGAAGAGGAAGAGAGAAGGUCUUAUAAAGCGCCUACUGUGUGCCGCGGACCCUUCUCACUCCCAUCACCUGCAGGACUCACACAGGUAGUGACUGAGCACCUACCAGGCGCCAAAGUCCCUGACCCCCGGAGCCGAGUGGUGCCGCGACCCCAGGGAGCAGGUGCAGACGGGCAGCUGCAGAGGGGGCGGGGGAGGGUCCCAUGCCACCUCCCAAGAGCGGGGAGGGGGGCGGCUCACCCACACCUUUAUGCAGCAGGGGACGCACGGGUUACCAGGCACAGACUGGGGACCUGUGGGGACCUUCAGGGAGCAGGAAACACGCUGUGAAAGAGGAGACCCUUGGUGCUGAGCAAGUGCAGGCCGGCCUCGCCCCUCAGCCGGGCAGGUCCUGAGGAAGUGAGCUGUGCCCUUGCCGGGACCCUACCGGCGGAUCCAGAGCCUGGGAGGAACAGCGUCCCCUUCCUGGCAGGGCACAGCUGGCCAAAGGCCGGACGCGUCACCCCGCCCCUGGAAGCUGGUGGCUGGGUGGAAACGCCCUGCCUUGGCUGUGUCCCCUGGGGAAGGUGCUCCAGGCAGGCUGCCUCGACUCAGCGAGCCUCAGUGUCCUCAUCUGCAAGGGGCACAGUGAUGCCCGGCCUGCCCAGUGGGCAAGAGGACAUCUCUAGGGCCCUCCCUUACCCUGGGUCCUCAGGAUCCCUGGAAACCACCGUCUCUGGGACUGGGGUGGGAAGGAGAUGACGGGGGCAGCCCAGACUCCUCAGCUCCAGACCCUGAGUCAGGGGACCCUGAGGGCCUUGGCAGGAAGUGACCCGGAGCCUCACGUACAACGGAAGGAAACUGAGGUACUCGCAGGCUCAGGCUGCCAGCCGCUGUGCUACGCCUCAGCCCAGGCUCCACGGUGUCCUCCAACAGCCCCAGGGGAGCAGGCAAGGCCGACUCGGAGACGGAGACGCAGCUGGAGGCCACAGCACCAGUUAAUGGGGAGCAGGCGGCAGCUGACCAGAGCAGGCGGCUUAGGCCUGUCCCCUGCAGGAGGAGGAGGAUGGACAAGGGGCCUGGGUCAGCUCCACGUUCAGCCCCCUGGGUGGCCCAGGGCAGCUUGCAGAAGCCCAGCCCAGCCCCGCCCAGCAACCUGCAGGUACCAGGUCCAGCCAGAGAGGACGCCAGGCCAGCCACCAGGCAACAAUAAACGUGAGCGGGUUAAACGGGUCUGUUAAAAGCAGAGACUCUCACAUUAGACCAAAAACCAAAUGAAUAUGUGCUGAACCAUC